CAGAACGAACGCUGGCGGCGUGCCUAACACAUGCAAGUCGCGCGCGAAGGGCUUCGGCCUUGUAGAGCGGCGCACGGGUGAGUAACACGUGGGUAAUCUACCCUUAGGUCUGGGAUAACCCGGGGAAACUCGGGCUAAUACCGGUUAAGACCACGAGACGAGAGUCUUGUGGGAAAAGCGGAGGACUCUUUCGAGAGCUUCGUGCCAAAGGAUGAGCCCGCGUCCCAUCAGCUAGUUGGCGGGGUAACGGCCCACCAAGGCUAAGACGGGUAGCUGGUCUGAGAGGAUGAUCAGCCACACUGGAACUGAGACACGGUCCAGACUCCUACGGGAGGCAGCAGUGGGGAAUCUUGCGCAAUGGGGGAAACCCUGACGCAGCAACGCCGCGUGAGUGAUGAAGGUCUUCGGAUCGUAAAGCUCUGUCGGCAGGAACGAUGGAUAGCGUGGAUAACACCCACGAGAUCUGACGGUACCUGCAAAGGAAGCACCGGCUAACUCUGUGCCAGCAGCCGCGGUAA
RNAcentral lists this ribosomal RNA (518 nucleotides) under uncultured delta proteobacterium. Its description in RNAcentral is "bacterial SSU rRNA". It matches the Rfam family "Bacterial small subunit ribosomal RNA", at positions 25 to 523 of the family's 1533-position model. The record is from RNAcentral. Lineage: Bacteria; Deltaproteobacteria.